CCGGGUGAUUCAAAUAGAAAUUGAAAUUAAAAUAGAAUGUGCAGAAAGUUAAAUGUUUAUUUGAAUCACCCGGUAUACUUUUUUCCUUAGCCGAGUUUCGACCCAUCAGUAAUUUAUAUAAUAUCGCCAUCUAUCGUUCAGUUACCGAACUAAUCGGAACUAUUUUGAUAUUGAGGUUGGUUCGAAACUCGACUAUUGAAAAAACUAUACCGGGUGAUUCAAAUAAAGAUUGAUAUUAAAAUAAAAUGUGCAGAAAGUUAAAUGUUUUUUUGAAUCACCCGGUAUACUUUUUUCCUUAGCCGAGUUUCGAACCAUCAGUAAUUUAUAUAAUAUCGCCAUCUAUCGUUCAAUUACCGAACUAAUCGGAACUAUUUUGAAAUUGAGGUUGGUUCGAAACUCGACUAUUGAAAAAACUAUACCGGGUGAUUCAAAUAAAAAUUGAAAUUAAAAUGAAAUGUGCAGAAAGUUAAAUGUUUUUUUGAAUCACCCGGUAUACUUUUUUCCUUAGCCGAGUUUCGAACCAUCAGUAAUUUAUAUGAUAUCGCCAUCUAUCGUUCGAUUACCGAACUAAUCGGAACUAUUUUGAAAUUGAGGUUGGUUCGCAACUCGACUAUUGAAAAAACUAUACCGGGUGAUUCAAAUAAAAAUUGAAAUUAAAAUAGAAUGUGCAGAAAGUUAAA
This is a non-coding RNA of Onthophagus taurus, 680 nucleotides long. The record is from RefSeq and is a predicted model, not a curated record. NCBI's taxonomy places the organism in Eukaryota, Metazoa, Arthropoda, Insecta, Coleoptera, Scarabaeidae.